This 259-nucleotide unclassified non-coding RNA is filed under the name uncultured Hypocreales. Its description in RNAcentral is "sequence contains 5.8S rRNA gene, ITS2, 28S rRNA gene". The stretch from base 1 to 52 matches the Rfam family "5.8S ribosomal RNA", at positions 103 to 154 of the family's 154-position model. Lineage: Eukaryota; Fungi; Ascomycota; Sordariomycetes; Hypocreales. The record is from RNAcentral.
AACGCACAUUGCGCCCGCCAGUAUUCUGGCGGGCAUGCCUGUUCGAGCGUCAUUUCAACCCUCAAGCUCUGCUUGGUGUUGGGGAUCGGCAUAGCGCCUCUGGCGCCGCCGUCCCCUAAAUCUAGUGGCGGUCCCGCUGUAGCCUCCUCUGCGUAGUAGUUUUCUCCUCGCACCGGCAGCUUGGCGGCGACCUCGCCGUAAAACCCCCAACUUCUGAAAGGUUGACCUCGAAUCAGGUAGGAAUACCCGCUGAACUUAA